Molecule: ribosomal RNA, 460 nt
Filed under: uncultured bacterium
Lineage: Bacteria
Description: partial 16S ribosomal RNA
Rfam family: Bacterial small subunit ribosomal RNA
Source: RNAcentral
CCUACGCGAGACUGCAGUGAGGAAUAUUGGUCAAUGGGCGGGAGCCUGAACCAGCCAAGUCGCGUGAGGGCAGACGGUCCUAUGGAUUGUAAACCUCUUUAGGCGGGGAGCAAUGCCGGGCACGUGUGCCCGGAGGGAGAGUACCCGCAGAAUAAGCAUCGGCUAACUCCGUGCCAGCAGCCACGGUAAUACGGAGGAUGCGGGUGUUAUCCGGAUUUAUUGGGUUUAAAGGGUGCGUAGGCGCAUUUUUAAGUCAGCGGUAAAAUGUCCGGGCUCAACCCGGGCCGGCCGUUGAAACUGGGGAUCUUGAUGUGGCGAGAAGUAUGCGGAAUGCGUGGUGUAGCGGUGAAAUGCAUAGAUAUCACGCAGAACUCCGAUUGCGAAGGCAGCAUACCGGCGCCCGACUGACGCUGAUGCACGAAAGCGUGGGGAUCGAACAGGAUUAGAUACCCCUGUAGUC